Myotis lucifugus (little brown bat) is the source of this 75-nucleotide non-coding RNA. Lineage: Eukaryota; Metazoa; Chordata; Mammalia; Chiroptera; Vespertilionidae. The record is from Rfam.
GGCAGUUCUUAGGUUAUCCACCCCGGAAUCUGGCUCCCUCCUUUCUGGUUCUGGGUGCAUCACCUGAGAACUACA